GUGGGUUGUGGCUCAGUGGUAGAGCGCUCGCCUAGCAUGUGCAAGGCCCUGGGUUCGAUCCUCAGCACCACA
This 72-nucleotide transfer RNA is filed under the name Marmota monax (woodchuck). RNAcentral describes it as "tRNA.Ala". It matches the Rfam family "tRNA". From Rfam's summary of the family: Transfer RNA (tRNA) molecules are approximately 80 nucleotides in length. Their secondary structure includes four short double-helical elements and three loops (D, anti-codon, and T loops). Further hydrogen bonds mediate the characteristic L-shaped molecular structure. tRNAs have two regions of fundamental functional importance: the anti-codon, which is responsible for specific mRNA codon recognition, and the 3' end, to which the tRNAs corresponding amino acid is attached (by aminoacyl-tRNA synthetases). tRNAs cope with the degeneracy of the genetic code in two manners: having more than one tRNA (with a specific anti-codon) for a particular amino acid; and 'wobble' base-pairing, i.e. permitting non-standard base-pairing at the 3rd anti-codon position. Lineage: Eukaryota; Metazoa; Chordata; Mammalia; Rodentia; Sciuridae. The record is from RNAcentral.